UUGUGUUCCCACCUCCCCCCCCAAACUCCCAUAUAUAUGGUCUUUUUGCUCUGCCCACAGGGACUGCUGGACUGGUGAGUGCAUUUGUCUUCAAGAGUGGGCGGCCAGCAUUCUGCUGGCAUACAGAGAUAUUUAUUCCUUUAUGAAACUGCACACGAAGAGAGAUCCAUGAGGCUGUAUCAUUCUUCUUUGAUACCAUGCAGACCACAGCAGCAUGCUGCUUCAACCAAGCUGGGACCAGCCAGGUCUGUGAAGGCUCCGCAGCAGCAGAUACAAGAAUGCUGUAUGUAAAAACAGUUGCUUCAGAAAUCAAGCAAAUGGAACUUCCAAAGUCGUGCUACAAAGGAAUUGUAUGGAGGCCAUACUUCAGAUGUGUUACACUACUGACAGAUGAGUGGAGAGUGCAGAAUGCCCGUUCUAUUACUAGCUUCACAGCAGAAUUUUCUAUUCUUGCCAUAGCUAAAAACAUUUGUAUCCAUGUGAAGCCAUCCGUGCUGGAGACAGGGAACCUGGAAUGCUACAACUUUGUCUAUGGCUUGAAUAGAGUAAUUCAGUCAGGUGAUAAAGAGUUUUAUGUUUCAUUCAUCUUAUCUUUGGUAAUUCCAUGUGUUAUUUCAAAAUUAAGUUUUAACUGCACUGAAAAUGGAGAUAAAUGGAAGAGUUUGUGCAGAACGUAAGCUCAUUUUAGCUUAAAUUCUCACCUUUUUAUUUUUUGAGGAAUCAUAACUUGAAGAGUCUUUUGAGUUCAUUAAAUGCAUUUUCCUCUAGUUCAUCUCAGUUCUUUAUUUCUUAAGGAAGAAGUAGUUCUGGAAGACUUCUCACUACUCAGAAAGUCAGUCAUUGUAGAAUAAAGAUUUUUUUUAUUCUACA
Molecule: long non-coding RNA, 870 nt
Filed under: Numida meleagris (helmeted guineafowl)
Lineage: Eukaryota; Metazoa; Chordata; Aves; Galliformes; Numididae
Description: lncRNA (ENSNMEG00000004729.1)
Source: RNAcentral